AUACGUAGGGGCCUGACGUUGUUCGGAAUCAUUGGGCGUAAAGGGCGCGCAGGCGGCCGUCCAAGUCCGGUGUUAAAUGGUCGGGCUCAACCCGAUCAUGCGCUGGAAACUGGGCGGCUUGAGUCCCGUAGGGGAUGCCGGAAUUCCAGGUGUAGGGGUGAAAUCUGUAGAUAUCUGGAAGAACACCGAUGGCGAAGGCAGGCAUCUGGCCGGAGACUGACGCUGAGGCGCGAAGGCGCGGGGAGCGAACAGGUUUAGAUACCCUGGUAGUCCGCGCAGUAAACGAUGCGCACCAGGUGUCGGGCGGCAGCGCCCGGUACCGGAGCUAACGCGAUGAGUGCGCCGCCUGGGGAGUAUGCCCGCAAGGGUGAAACUCAAAGGAAUUGACGGGG
RNAcentral lists this ribosomal RNA (392 nucleotides) under uncultured bacterium. RNAcentral describes it as "partial 16S ribosomal RNA". It matches the Rfam family "Bacterial small subunit ribosomal RNA", at positions 523 to 918 of the family's 1533-position model. The record is from RNAcentral.